UACAGAGGUCUCAAGCGUUGUUCGGAUUUACUGGGCGUAAAGGGCGCGUAGGCGGCGUGACAAGUCACUUGUGAAAUCUCCGGGCUUAACUCGGAACGGUCAAGUGAUACUGUCGUGCUAGAGUACAGAAGGGGCAACUGGAAUUCUCGGUGUAGCGGUGAAAUGCGUAGAUAUCGAGAGGAACACCUGCGGCGAAGGCGGGUUGCUGGGCUGAUACUGACGCUGAGGCGCGAAAGCUAGGGGAGCGAACGGG
This 253-nucleotide ribosomal RNA is filed under the name uncultured bacterium. Its description in RNAcentral is "partial 16S ribosomal RNA". It matches the Rfam family "Bacterial small subunit ribosomal RNA", at positions 524 to 776 of the family's 1533-position model. The record is from RNAcentral.